GAACGCUGGCGGCGUGCCUAAUACAUGCAAGUCGAGCGAAGUUUUUCUGGUGCUUGCACCGGAAAAACUUAGCGGCGAACGGGUGAGUAACACGUAAAGAACCUGCCUCAUAGACUGGGACAACUAUUGGAAACGAUAGCUAAUACCGGAUAAUAGCAUUAACUGCAUGGUUGAUGUUUAAAAGUUGGUUUUGCUAACACUAUGAGAUGGCUUUGCGGUGCAUUAGCUAGUUGGUGGGGUAAAGGCCUACCAAGGCGACGAUGCAUAGCCGACCUGAGAGGGUGAUCGGCCACACUGGGACUGAGACACGGCCCAGACUCCUACGGGAGGCAGCAGUAGGGAAUCUUCCGCAAUGGGCGAAAGCCUGACGGAGCAACGCCGCGUGAGUGAAGAAGGAUUUCGGUUCGUAAAGCUCUGUUGUUAGGGAAGAAUGAUUGUGUAGUAACUAUACACAGUAGAGACGGUACCUAACCAGAAAGCCACGGCUAACUACGUG
RNAcentral lists this ribosomal RNA (496 nucleotides) under uncultured bacterium. RNAcentral's name for it is "partial 16S ribosomal RNA". It matches the Rfam family "Bacterial small subunit ribosomal RNA", at positions 31 to 507 of the family's 1533-position model. The record is from RNAcentral.